AGAGAAGAGGGUGUAGUUUUCUUACACCUACCCAUUGAGUCGUUAAAACUCGCUGUGGGUGGGAGCCGGUACCGGGCUGCGAACCCUGUACCUACCAGCCUUAUGUCCGAUGGCUUAACCACGACAUCACCGAAUAUCACCGAAUAUCAUUAUCUGUAAUAACAAGGCGUUUGUGGUCGUCCUAAUGUUUGUAGUAGUGCAAAGUAGGUUUCACCUUCCAAUAAUUUCGUAUUGACUGCUGCGAACAUUAGUACACGACCGCAAACGUUGGAUAUUUAGACACUGAUGUCCUAAACAAGAAAAGGUAUUUAAUACGUAAUUUUAGUUGUCCAAAAUGCCAUGUCAGGCAAUGUCUGCAAACUAGGGCCAGUUCCUUUAAAUGUUUCCACUGAAUAUAUUACUGUUUGGGUGUUUAGGGCAUGAUAGUCUCUUUGUCUCUGUCUGUCUGUCUGUCUGUCUGUCUGUCUGUCUCUCUCUCUCUCUCUCUCUCUCUCUCUCUCUCUCUCUCUCUCUCUCUCUCUCUCUCUCUCUCUCUCUCUCUCCCUCUCUCUCUCUCUCUCUCUCUCUCUCUCUCUCUCUCUCUCUCUCUCUCUCUCUCUCUCUCUCUCUCUCUCUCUCUCUUCGUCUCUCCGUCUCCGUGUCUAUCUUCAUUUGUCUGUUCUCUUUCUCUUUCUCUCUCUCUCUAGCUCUCUCUCUCUAGCUCUCUAGCUCUCUCUCUCUCUCUCUCUCUCUCUCUCUCUCUCUCUCUCUCUCUCUCUCUCUC
Molecule: long non-coding RNA, 763 nt
Organism: Gigantopelta aegis
Lineage: Eukaryota; Metazoa; Mollusca; Gastropoda; Neomphalida; Peltospiridae
Exons: 2
Source: RefSeq, a predicted model, not a curated record